AUUGAACGCUGGCGGCAUGCCUUACACAUGCAAGUCGAACGGUAACAGGUCUUCGGAUGCUGACGAGUGGCGAACGGGUGAGUAAUACAUCGGAACGUGCCUAGUAGUGGGGGAUAACUACUCGAAAGAGUGGCUAAUACCGCAUGAGAUCUACGGAUGAAAGCAGGGGAUCGCAAGACCUUGUGCUACUAGAGCGGCCGAUGGCGGAUUAGGUAGUUGGUGGGAUAAAAGCUUACCAAGCCGACGAUCUGUAGCUGGUCUGAGAGGACGAUCAGCCACACUUGGACUGAGACACGGCCCAGACUCCUACGGGAGGCAGCAGUGGGGAAUUUUGGACAAUGGGCGCAAGCCUGAUCCAGCAAUGCCGCGUGCAGGAUGAAGGCCUUCGGGUUGUAAACUGCUUUUGUACGGAACGAAAAGCCCUGGGUUAAUACCCUGGGGUCAUGACGGUACCGUAAGAAUAAGCACCGGCUAACUACGUGCCAGCCGCCGCGGUAA
This 498-nucleotide ribosomal RNA is filed under the name uncultured bacterium. Its description in RNAcentral is "partial 16S ribosomal RNA". It matches the Rfam family "Bacterial small subunit ribosomal RNA", at positions 30 to 523 of the family's 1533-position model. The record is from RNAcentral.